This 28-nucleotide small RNA is filed under the name Bombyx mori (domestic silkworm). Its description in RNAcentral is "ovarian small RNA-7219". Lineage: Eukaryota; Metazoa; Arthropoda; Insecta; Lepidoptera; Bombycidae. The record is from RNAcentral.
UCCAUCUUCCUCGCGGGAGGCCCAGAGU